Molecule: non-coding RNA, 227 nt
Filed under: Skermanella stibiiresistens
Lineage: Bacteria; Pseudomonadati; Pseudomonadota; Alphaproteobacteria; Rhodospirillales; Azospirillaceae
Also listed under: 1 other name
Source: RNAcentral
AGCCUUGCUCCUGGUGAUAGGUUCCCCCGACGCGAGCGACGGAGGGGGAUUAAUAGGGAACACGGUGCGGCGGACCCCUCAGGGGACCUAAUCCGUGGCUGCCCCCGCAACUGUGAGCAGCGAGUCUUCGCCGACCGCACGCCACUGGCCCGUGACAAGGCUGGGAAGGCAACGGCGAUGGAUCACGACCUGCGAGCCAGGAGACCUGCCGUCACCGGAUGAGCCGA